GACGGCAAAGCCACACCCGCCGCGAGACGGGGCCGGAAAGCCAUGGGGUCUGUUUCAGACAGCCCGGUUGCCGCUC
This 76-nucleotide non-coding RNA is filed under the name Methylomonas sp. Its description in RNAcentral is "c-di-GMP sequence". It matches the Rfam family "c-di-GMP-I-GGC riboswitch aptamer". Lineage: Bacteria; Pseudomonadati; Pseudomonadota; Gammaproteobacteria; Methylococcales; Methylococcaceae. RNAcentral also lists the same sequence under 1 other name. The record is from RNAcentral.